Long non-coding RNA from Dipodomys ordii (Ord's kangaroo rat), 2153 nucleotides. RefSeq lists it as uncharacterized. The record is from RefSeq and is a predicted model, not a curated record. The transcript is spliced from 2 exons. NCBI's taxonomy places the organism in Eukaryota, Metazoa, Chordata, Mammalia, Rodentia, Heteromyidae.
ACAUUCGAGUAGCUUCACCACCAAUUAGAUAUCCAUGCUUUAUGGGAAUAAACAUUCCCACAAAAGAGGAGCUGAUUGCCAACAAGCCAGAAUUUGAUCAUCUUGCAGAAUACCUAGGAGCAAACAGUGUUGUGUAUCUGUCAGUAGAAGGACUGGUUUCAUCUGUACAAGAAAAGAUAAAAUUUAAGCAAGAGAAAGUAAAAAAGCAUGACAUUAGGAUUCAAGAAAAUGGAAAUGGUCUGGAAUAUUUUGAAAAGUCUGGUCAUUGUACUGCUUGUCUCACUGGCAAAUACCCUGUAGAACUGGAAUGGUAGCUAAGAGAAAGAUAACGUUACUUCCAGACAGAAUGCUGGUCAAAAAGUAGUUAUACAUUAUUUACUUAAUGAGUACAAAAUAAAAUGCCAUAUGCUUAAGUUUGCCUUUAGAAGUUUUGAAGUUUUUUUCUGAAAAGGGUACCAAAGUCUUCUAAUUGACCUUUUAAUUGCAUAUGAUUCCAUAUGCAGGACUUCUUUUAUAUAUAUAUGUAUGUAUAUGUAUACAUACAUGUAUGUAUAUAUGCAUGUAUAUAUAUGUGUGUGUGCAUUUACAUACAUAUACAUGUCUAUGUAUAUGUAUAAGCACUGGCUAAUCUUUAUCACCUGGUCAGAGAAGGCAGGUAGUUAAAUGGUAUUUGUCAAGUCCAUGCUUAAGAGUUUUGCAAGAGGUUAAACUAGCAGUUGUGACAUGGUCAGAUUAGUUAACUAUAUCAAUUCAUGUGAAGUUUGAAUUCAUUAUAACCCAUAGGUGUUCAGUUCUGUCUAUACUCAAAGCUGGUUUCUCUGUCUGCCUUAUUCCCCCCCACCAUUAUUUUAGGGAAUUAGCAUACGAUGAAAAGUUGGGAGGCUGACGCAGGAAAAUCUUGAGUUCAAAGACAGUCUUUAAGACCCUGUCAAAAAGAAAAGUCUGUGCCUCAAUAUCCCAUCUAUACAAUGAGGUACUUAUUGUAGUGAAUAAGAAUGCAUCAUUUUAGGAUACUGCAUCAGCAGCAGCUUUUGAAAAGUUAGUGAUCGUUAGCUUCUUUGAAUUGAGUUUGCAAUGGAGAUUACAUUAUGAUGAAAUGUACAGUUGGACAGAUCAUUACUAUGUCUCUCUGAAAUGCCCUAAGGUGGUCGUACAGAUUUGUUUAUAGAGAACAUUUUGCCAUACUUGACUAGAAAAGGUGAUCUACAUUUAGUGCCCUAACAAUAUAAGCCUAGCAAGUAAAUUUGAGAUAAAUAGCAAAGUUUUAAAUUCCAACAAUUAGUCUUAAUUUGAUUCAGAAUGUGCUUCUUAAAUCCAGUUUUUUAUCAUUUGCAAGACUAUAUGCCUGUGUAUGUAUUAUAAACACAUAAUGAUUGAAAUUAAGUUAUUAGAUGGAAAUGUGGGCCAAUUUUAAGAUUAAGGAGACAGCCACUUUCUGGAAGCAUCAAAAGUGUUUGUUCCUAUGGUAUAUUACCACAAUUUAGUGUAUAUAGUUUACAGAUCCAUUUAGAAAUUUAAUAUUUAUUAAUAACUGAUAUCAUUCUUUUUUUGAUUUGUAGUUUCACAUGUUAUAUUUUAGCAGCUUAAGAGACAUGCUGAUAGUUCUUUAGGAUUAUGUGCAUCAGUGGCUCAGAUAACCCUGCAACAGAGACACAAGCAAAAUGACAUUUUGGGACCAUUUCAGCACGUAUAGCCUCUUGUCUUAAUGUAUUCCCCGUGCAGUAUAGAGAUAAGAGCUGUGUGUCAGUUCUGAAAUAGCCUUUAAAUUUGAUUUUUUAAAAACAAGAGACUCAGGGACAGAACUAAGCCAAAAAAUCUCUGAUUUAACAUCAUGUUUUCCAUAAUGUUUAUUUUGUUGUGUUGGGAUGUUUUAUAAAAGAAAAUAAUGCUGUGACAGUUUAGUAAUUCUACAGGUUUCUUAGUAUUUCCCCACCCAGUCCUUCAUUUCACGUUUCUGAAGUGUGAAUUAAAUUACUGAUUUUUUUUAAAAAAUGAGUUUUAAGUGAUAACUGUUUUAAAUUUAUAUAAAUAGAAUAUUGUGAACUGCAGAGAAGAUGAGAAAUUGUUUUCACAGGAUUUGUAUUGUAAACUUAAGUAAACCUUUGUUACCUCUUUGUGAUCUGCUGGUGACAAAUAUAUGUUAUAAAUAUGUU